GUGUGGGCGGGGUUGAGUUAGCUUAGGGUGCAGUGAAGCUUGGCCUGGGAUUCGGGGAGCUGGCCCUAGACCCGAGGCUCUGUGCGGGCAUCGCAGGCCUCGGUUGAGGGCACUGCAGCGGCGGCGCAGCCGGCGUAUUCACCUCUGUCGGGUUCCUGCGAGCGCCAUCACCCCUCCGCCUUGGAGGCCUCGCCCGGAGGGCACCGAAGGCAGCUGCUGCUCCCUCCUCCCCGCCUCGGCCCCAGGAAGGCCAGCGGUUUUGGGUGAGAGUGGCAAAGGUGCAGGCCGUCCGACCCCUGCUGGUUUCUGUCUUUUGUCCCUGUUUCCCUGGCCAGGGGCGUGGUCCCGGUGGCUCUAAGCACGGAAAAGGAAGAAAGGAAAUUCCAGCCUAUGCUCUGGCUUUUUGCUGCCUACAGUGUAUCAAGCCAGUAGUGUAGGCAAUGAGGCUGACAGCAACAGCAACACCUCCCUCAGUUCUUCCAUGCUUCAAGUUGGGACAGGGCCUUGAACGCUGUCUUCCUGAUCCACACGAACGUUUGAUGAAAGAAUCGGAAGUUGAAAAUGAUUAUUGACAUGUUGCUUACAUUUAAUACAGACCUAGAUCAUUGUGCAUUUCGCAGACAGUGCAAAUAUAAGUUUUGGCAAAGUUUGUGCAAACUGAAAACUUCUUACCACAGAAAAUGAAAAGAUAACACACGCUGAGUUGUAACAGUCUUUCAGUUUGAUAUGGCUGGAGAAUUUUCUGCAACAACUCAGCUCUGCACAUAGACGUGGUAAUUAUCUGAGGAGUGCUCCAUUCACCCUAAAUUUGCCUAAUCUCUGGAUUGCCCUUUUGAGGUUGAAGGCACCAAGGUAAGGGCAACAAAGAUGUUUUCGAGAUACACAGGGACAUCAUAAGCAAUAGAUUUUCACCAGCUUUUGCUACUUCCUGUUCCAGAUCACAUUAACAGCACCUAGAAGUCUCCAGUUUUAGGUAGAUAGUUAAAAACCAACAGGCCUGAGAACAGAGGGUCAAAGCAACAUGGAGUACUAGACACAGGUAAACUAGGACCUCGGGGUAUAAUAUAUUUGAAAUUAACUAUUAGUCUCAGAUUAUAAAAAGGGGGAACAUACACUAUUUCUUUCAGUGUCUACUUUUUAAAUCCUGCACAAUCAAUCGCUGUGUGCCUCUUCUGCAUGUGCCUGGAAGUGCUCUGUGAUGGAAGCCAGCAAGCCUUGUGCCUAUCCCACAGGUGGGGGAUUGUUAUGGAUUAAAACCUGUUGGUCAACUUAGUGCCAGCUGGAUUACAUCAGCAUGGCCCUGAGAGUAGAUGUCCCACCUGAGGAAAGUUGCCAGCAUAAAUAGAGACUGUGGAGAAGGACAAGCUAUUGCAUUGAAGUGUUGAGGCAUUGUGAGUUUUCCUACAAAUUGCUGUUUGAGCCAUUGCUUCCCCUAGAGGAACUCUGGUCCUCACACGGAGCAUUGCUUCCUGGCUCGGAAGGUAAGACAUGUGCCUCCAGGAUGAACUCCUCAUGCUGGCUUCCUGGCUUUUACUCUGAAAGGAUUUUGCCCUAAAUGUGAUGCUCUAGUGGUAGGAGGCGCUGGGAGGUCACCUUCCCCGCCGCUAAGCAAUUUACCUGUGGCACAAAAUGAAUUCCAAUGGGCUACCUGUACAUCAGUAAUGCCCCUUAGGUUCUACUCCAAACUUAAACUACAUGUGUGCCUCCACACCACGUGUCGGGCAGAGAGAAAGCCAAACCCCAGAGGUCAUGGAGUUUCUCUCUGAAUUCUUAAAAUAAAGGCCACUUUUAUCUCAUAUUUCUAUCUUUUUAGCCAUGCCCAAAACUCUUUCAUUUAGUUUCCUGCCUGGGAACGGCAGACAAGUGACUCCUGGGACCCUCCCAGUCUGAGUCCCCUGCCGGUUCACAGACUGGACUGCAUCCUGGAUUAAUUUCUCACUUCUCAACAUGCAGGAGCUGCUAAACUUGUCGCUGCUGGCUUGCAAACAAUACCAGUCUAAUUAAUUUACCGCAGGUGAGUCAAUUCUGUCCAAAGAUUACUCUGUAGUGGGCUGGGCCCCAUGCCAGAUUUUCCUUCCAUUCCCUGGACUUGGGUAAUGCUCUCAUGUCCCUUGGGCAGCCCCAAGGCAGAGCCAUUACUAAUCUGCGGAAAAUCGACUUGUGCCUUUUGGUGAUGAUCAAAAACAUGAGUUUUGGGACCGAUUACUGUAGGUCUAAGAGGCCAGGUGACCACCUGACCUGGUUAGAUCACGGUCUGUUGGCUCACCUGACUGUGAUUGGAUCAUGGGGAUCACUUCCUGUCCCCCAAAAAACAUACCUAUGGGGUGCCUAGUUCAAAAGGGACCAAAAACCAAAAAGCUGAUGUUUUAUUUAUAGUUUAUCACACUGAUGACAAGUUUGCAGAAACUCUCCAUUUGUUUUAAGAAUGUGUCCUUCUCUCCCUCUGCUCCUCCAGGAUCCCUCCCACAUACACUUAGGAGGUGGCUUCUUCCUUUACAGCUUCACCCCUAUAUCUCAUACACCAAAUCUUGCAGCUGUCUCAGCAUCCUCCUUUCCUCCCUGCUUCACCCAUUUCUCAGUCCCUCCCCACCCCACCUGCCUUUUCCCGUGAGCACCGGGAUGAGGGCUGUGUGCCCAGGCAGCAUUGGGCUGUGCACAGGUGGGGCAGGCCAGGCCUGCGCACACCAACCGGGCUGUGCAGGCUGCUCUGGGCUCUCAUGCCACACCCCCUGCCCCCUGCCCCGUGCUCCCUCUCCUGCCCCCCACCAAGAGUCUCUGGAGCAGUCCCAGCCCCCACCCCGCCCCUGAAUGUGAGCUCUGAGCGGCAGCCUGGAGGAGGAGACAAUGGGUUGUGGCAGGAGGAAAAGUGGCCAAUUCUUAUUUCAAGAGAUCUCUAUUAAUCUACAAAAGGGUCCACACCAGCCUUAUUUAAUAUAGUUCAAAUUGGCCAAGUAUAUUUGAGUGCACUCUGAUUUUAUAACAUCUAUCUGUUGUUCCUUCAGUCCGUUUACAGAUCUUCAGUCCAUGUUUGUUCAUUUGCCUGCUCUGUGAACAGCUAUUCCUUUUUGUUUGAGCUCAGCAAUUUUUUUCCUUUUUCAUAUUCUCAAACCAUUUAAUCAAGUUUUAUUUGUGUUAUAGAUUUAAAAAAAUGUUUCCACCUAAUUUGCCAGCUGGUCAAAAUGGUGGUAAAACUGGUUAAAUAAAAUCUCUUGGGGUGAGGAGACAUUGGACAAGACUUCAAUUAAUGAAGAAUGGGAAAGUGGCCACCUGGUAAUUUUACCAGCCUUGUUUAUUGAUCAAAGCCUGCAAUAAUCUCCAUAGCCUAUGGGUGACACCUCAACUAAAGUUCGUAUGAGUAAGACAAUUCAUUGUUGCUGAUCUGAUGGUAUAUUCAACCCUUCAAAUAUAUUGUUUCUGCUGUCUUUUUCUUGUGUUCCAGCCAAAAGAUACAAAUCAGACCUGUUGGGUCUGAUUAGGUCACCAGUCAAAUAAUAAUUUUUAAACAAAAAUUUAUAUAAUGUAUGAUGACAAGUGUUUUCUUUCAGAUCCAGACAUACACUUAGAGAUGCUUCACAAACUUAUUCAGUGUUCAAAUGUUAAAACACUCAUGGUUAAUAGCCAUUUAAUGUUCUAUGUUAAGCUUACUGCCUAUGCUGUACUGUACUGCUAUCAAUCUUCUGGAUGUUCAGCAACUGAAAUUAAGAGAUAAUUAUAAAUUCCUUUUGGAUUCCUUUUGCUGGGAUCCAUCAGAUAUUUUCCAGAAAAAGAUUAUAUGACACAUGCAAAACUACAAGACCAGCACUGGGGCAGAGGCCAGAUUUGAGCCUUUCCCAGCCUGUCUGCCUGCCCUGGCUCAGCCCUCCACCGAGCCAUAAUUAACUAUACUCAACUGGUGUUAAAUGACACCGUAGCUGAUCUCUCUCCUAAAUAAAAAGGUAAAGUUGACAAAACAGGCCAUCCUCCAAAAAUCAGAUAGCAUUAGACAUUCUAACAACAUAAAGAGAUACUUACAUAUGACAAAUAAAUGACAUGUCAGUUCCUAAAAUUCCCUGAACCUUAUCCUCCUUAUGGGAAGCCAUUACUAAAGUUAUGAUCAUAAAUACCCUGUUGAUUGUAUUAUUUGACUCCUGCAUACUUAAUUGACUCUACAGAUACCUUCCAUUGUGGGCCAGAUUCCAAGACAAAAGGCUAAACUUGGCCCUCAAACCCCACAGGGAGAUCUUAAUAUGGCUUUUCACAUUUUCAACAAUAGAGUUAAAAAAAUAACAGUGUGAUCUUUUAGCAGUGACACUUGGAGCUCUGAGACAGGUAAACUGACACAAGGUGGAGCUGCCUGCGCCUCUCCUGGACCAUGCCUCAAAUGCAGCAGAAGGACAUUGGGCAAGAGAGUGCCCCAUCCUGGUGUUCCUUUGGGGCCUUACCCCAGGGCUACUGGACUGUCCAAGCCUCCAGAGUGGGUAAGGCAUCCUAAUUUCUAGCCCUCACUGGAAAUGCCAACACUGCCAGUUUCAUCACUGACAGAUCUGCUUGGACUUGCUGCUGAAGACUGACGGGGCUCAGGGUCCACAGCCCCUAUUAAGGUGUCCUUCUCGGAGUCCCAAGUCCCACUAGAGGUCUCAGGUAAGACUAUACUUUGGGACAUAGAGGCCAUGUAUAGGGUUCUUCCUGAGUUUUCAAGGUGCUAUAUUAAGUCCUCAGUCUCUAUAGGGGGUGUUGAUGGCCAACCUAUGUGCCUUUACAGACAGGGCCUAUUUCAUGCAGGUUCCAGACUCGCUUCUUCUCUGGUCAAUCCCAUAGUUUGAGGUACCUCCAAUCCCACCUGUACUUCCCAUGCCAUGCCUAUUUUAAUUCAUCUCAGAGAUCCUUCAAUUCUUUCUUGUGUUCCCCAAUAUCCCGUAGCUUCCAAACAUUUACAGGGACUUAAAUCUAUAAUUAAGUACCUUUUAGACAAUGGUUUUCUUGAAUCUACACAUUCACCGUAUAAUACUCCCAUUCUCCUGGUACUCAAGACUGAUGCAUCUUACCUUCAAAUACAAGACCUUAAGAUACUCAAUAAUGCUGUUACCCCAACCCACCCAGGGGUGCCAAACCCUUAUACCAUGCUCUCUCAUUUCCCUCCCUCCACCACUCACUUUAAAGUCCUAGAUCUAAAAAUGCCUUUUUAUUCCUUUGUGUUUAUGCAGAUGACCCAGACACUCUGAAGUCUCAACAGCUCACACCUGUUAUCUCUAGUAAACCCUCUCCUCAGGGACACAUAGCACCCCCUUCCUUUCCUAUUCACCAAUUUCUCAGACACAAACCUGGUCAAGACUGACAGAUAAAUUUUAUACACAUGCCCUGCCACAAAACUCUCAAAUAUGUUCUUAACUUUGUUUGUACUUUUUCAGGAUAAAUAAAAGCCUUUUCCACAACAGGGAGACUGCUGAUAUACUUACUAACGUCCUGUUACAUAAAAUCAUUCCAAGGACUACAACCAAGGUGGAGCAGCCCAUACUUGGUUUCUCGGCAACCUCAACAGCGGUCAAAGUUGUUAGACUGCCAUCCUGGUUUCACAUCACUCAGGCUAAGUGGUGCCCUCCCAGCCCUAGAUCUAACCAUCCCUUUGCUCACUCAUCCCCACCUCACCAAGGCCUCACAGCCACAACUCUCUGGCUGUCAUGUUUUGUUAUCCAAUUUGGUUCCUAAUUUCUUACAUUCUAUUAAUUAUCCUUUUUACAGUAGGACUCUCAACUGUCUUUUGUAAAGACUCCUACAUCAUGCAUACCAGAGACAAGUCUUUCCUACCUACCCUCUUAACUUUUACCCUCUCAGCUGGAGGAAUAAUCACCUCUCAUAACUCCACUGCUCCUAACCCCAAUUUAUUUUUCAGAAUUCUACCUCACCAUGGCAAUGAUUCUACCUCAACAUGAUCCUGAUAAAAUGACAUAUCUGAAUCAAAGGCACCUUUUCUUCUACCUCACUUGGGUCCUUAAAUAUGGUAGUGGCCUGCCUCCUCAUAACACCUUAUCUCUUUGUUUUUCCAUCUAAAGUGCAGGCAUUCAUUCAGUGAUAAAGUUGUCCUGGUUAAAACACCUGGCACCAACUUCUACAUGGGCAUCAACUACAUCCCAUUGACCCUCCUAAACCCCAGUACAGUGCCUCCUUUAGCAGGAAGCAGUAAAAGAAAAAAAAAAACUUCGCCCUUUUUCCUAAUAAUAAAAAGAAGGGAAUGAAAGGAUUUUGUCCUAAAUGAGAUGCUGUAGUGGUGGGAGGCGCUGGGAGGCCCUGGGAGAUGAAAGGUCACCUUCCCCGCCCCUAAGCUAUUUACCUGUGGCACAAAAUGAAUUCCAGUGGGCUACCUGUGCAUCAGUAAUGUCCCUUAGGCUCCACCCCAAACCUAAGCUACAUGUAUGCCCCCAUACCACGAGUCGGGCAGAGAAAAAGCCAGACCCUGGAGAUCAUGGAGUUUUUCUCUGAAUUCCUAAAAUAAAGGCCUUUUUUAAUCUCA
Cavia porcellus (domestic guinea pig) is the source of this 6487-nucleotide long non-coding RNA. RefSeq lists it as uncharacterized. The transcript has 2 exons. Lineage: Eukaryota; Metazoa; Chordata; Mammalia; Rodentia; Caviidae. The record is from RefSeq and is a predicted model, not a curated record.